This 484-nucleotide ribosomal RNA is filed under the name uncultured bacterium. RNAcentral describes it as "partial 16S ribosomal RNA". It matches the Rfam family "Bacterial small subunit ribosomal RNA", at positions 30 to 507 of the family's 1533-position model. The record is from RNAcentral.
AUUGAACGCUGGCGGCAGGCCUAACACAUGCAAGUCGAGCGGAUGAAGGGAGCUUGCUCCUGGAUUCCGCGGCGGACGGGUGAGUAAUGCCUAGGAAUCUGCCUGGUCGUGGGGGAUAACGUCCGGAAACGGGCGCUAAUACCGCAUACGUCCUGAGGGAGAAAGUGGGGGAUCUUCGGACCUCACGCUAUCAGAUGAGCCUAGGUCGGAUUAGCUAGUUGGUGGGGUAACGGCCUACCAAGGCGACGAUCCGUAACUGGUCUGAGAGGAUGAUCAGUCACACUGGAACUGAGACACGGUCCAGACUCCUACGGGAGGCAGCAGUGGGGAAUAUUGGACAAUGGGCGAAAGCCUGAUCCAGCCAUGCCGCGUGUGUGAAGAAGGUCUUCGGAUUGUAAAGCACUUUAAGUUGGGAGGAAGGGCAGUAAGUUAAUACCUUGCUGUUUUGACGUUACCAACAGAAUAAGCACCGGCUAACUACGUG